ACGAAGGGUGCAAGCGUUACUCGGAAUUACUGGGCGUAAAGCGUGCGUAGGUGGUUUGUUAAGUCUGAUGUGAAAGCCCUGGGUUCAACCUGGGAAUUGCAUUGGAUACUGGCAGGCUAGAGUGCGGUAGAGGGUAGUGGAAUUCCCGGUGUAGCAGUGAAAUGCGUAGAGAUCGGGAGGAACACCAGUGGCGAAGGCGGCUACCUGGACCAGCACUGAC
This 220-nucleotide ribosomal RNA is filed under the name uncultured prokaryote. Its description in RNAcentral is "partial 16S ribosomal RNA". It matches the Rfam family "Bacterial small subunit ribosomal RNA", at positions 525 to 744 of the family's 1533-position model. The record is from RNAcentral.